ACCAGAGGAGGGAAGGUCUGCAGACUGUGGCUUGCCAACUUCUUAUGGUCGAGAGGACGAGGUUACUCGUCUUUCGAGCCCAUUUAACCCUAAACCGGUUCCCAUUUGGGAGAAAGUUACUAGAAACAAAACUGUAGGGUGUUUAUCCACGGCUUUCCCUAUCAAAUGAAGCCUGUGAUGCCUAAGGAAGCCGCAGUCUUGCUCAGACGGUUGGUUACUAGGAGGGUUGGUAGGGGUUGUUAUGGUGUAGUGCGCUGCGCAUGCAACGAUUGUCCUCGCCCUCGUAUAUUCCCCUCCUCUUUU
RNAcentral lists this non-coding RNA (303 nucleotides) under Sequoia sempervirens (coast redwood). The record is from RNAcentral. Lineage: Eukaryota; Viridiplantae; Streptophyta; Pinopsida; Cupressales; Cupressaceae.